RNAcentral lists this ribosomal RNA (426 nucleotides) under uncultured bacterium. Its description in RNAcentral is "bacterial SSU rRNA". It matches the Rfam family "Bacterial small subunit ribosomal RNA", at positions 355 to 772 of the family's 1533-position model. The record is from RNAcentral.
UGGGGAAUUGUUCGCAAUGGGCGCAAGCCUGACGACGCAACGCCGCGUGGAGGAUGAAGGUCUUCGGAUUGUAAACUCCUGUUGAUCGGGAAGAAUGGACCUCGGGUGAAUACUCCGGGGUAAUGACGGUACCGGAAGAAUAAGCACCGGCUAACUUCGUGCCAGCAGCCGCGGUAAUACGAAGGGUGCAAGCGUUACUCGGAAUUACUGGGCGUAAAGCGUGCGUAGGUGGUUCGUUAAGUCUGAUGUGAAAGCCCUGGGCUCAACCUGGGAAUUGCAUUGGAUACUGGCGGGCUAGAGUGCGGUAGAGGAUGGCGGAAUUCCCGGUGUAGCAGUGAAAUGCGUAGAGAUCGGGAGGAACAUCCGUGGCGAAGGCGGCCAUCUGGACCAGCACUGACACUGAGGCACGAAAGCGUGGGGAGCAAA